This is a long non-coding RNA of Numida meleagris (helmeted guineafowl), 1233 nucleotides long. Lineage: Eukaryota; Metazoa; Chordata; Aves; Galliformes; Numididae. The record is from Ensembl.
GGAAUGGCAGUGAUGUCUCAGCUCUGCUCUGGGAACCUACAAAGCAAAGGAAGCCUGGGAUGACAGAACAGAUACAACAGCUGCCUUACUGAGGUGACCCAGAUCUAUCCUAAAUCUUGAAAGGUCUUGACUACAGCUGACUACAGCGAGGAGAUGAAGAUUAUAUGCUUGUCACAGACUUGGCAGAUGACUCUUUCACCUACACUGAUUUCCACCACUUGGCAGCUCAUAGUCUCUGGAGAAAUGUGGCCACAGCUGGAAACAGAAUGAUGAGCUACAGAAACCUUUGCAAUGCCACGCAGCACUGUUCCUGUGUGACCCUUUCCACCUGCUGCAGGGAGCACACGUACUAUGGCCCUGGAUUCAACCCCAGGUUUCAGGCAGUGAAAAUCUACACUUUGUGGCAUCUCACUUUUAAUCAUUUAUUUGACUCGACCUUUGUGCAGUCAUGUCUGCAGGGAGAAAGAGAUGAAAUAACCUAUAAUACACUGGAGAUAGAGAUAGCUGUCACUCAGUUCCCAUUUCAGAAAAGGAUUUAUCACCUCUUGCUGCUAACAGCUCCAUCGCCUUGCCCACUGUCCUAUUGUGUGUUUUAUCAAGCUACACCGGCCAAAGUUCUCCACUACAGUUAUCAUCAGUCAGACCUGGAACAGGAUCUGUCUAGCUGCAAUGUGUUUGCCAUUACGUUGCAGUAUCCAGGUUCUGGGUUGUAGUUUUUUGUUUCUUUCACCAGAGGCAUUAUAAUAUGAAUUACAAAGAAAGAUGCUCAAAGAGUUUUACAAGAACCAAAAAUCAGUAUGAAACACCUCUCUGACCUUCUCUCCACACUGAACUGGAGCUACACUUGAACUGUUUGGUCAUGUUUUUUUUUUUUCUUUUUUGAUGGAGAGCGAUGGAUUGAGGAGUUGAUAUCUUUAUUGAUCCUGAGCCAGAACUGAGCUGAGAAAGGAAUGAUUUUCUGGUUUCUCUUUCAGCACAAUGGACUGAUUUAAAAUUGCCAUUUUCUAGUAGAAAGUUCAACCUGCAGACUGCCUGUCCUCGCUGGGAUCUGGAAAGCAGUGUAGCACUGCAGCCUCUCCCUCUCCUCAUUUAAAUGUUUGAUGCAAAGCUUUGCCUUUGCAAGAGAGCACACCCUGUUCUGCUCCACAGAACCCAAGAGGGGACCUGUUCAGUAUGGGAACUUAUGAUACCUUCAUAAAUAAAGCUUUGAGACAGGGAUGGCUCUACCCUUGC